UAGGGAAUCUUCGGCAAUGGACGAAAGUCUGACCGAGCAACGCCGCGUGAGUGAAGAAGGUUUUCGGAUCGUAAAACUCUGUUGUUAGAGAAGAAGAAGGACGUUAGUAACUGAACGUCCCCUGACGGUAUCUAACCAGAAAGCCACGGCUAACUACGUGCCAGCAGCCGCGGUAAUACGUAGGUGGCAAGCGUUGUCCGGAUUUAUUGGGCGUAAAGCGAGCGCAGGCGGUUUCUUAAGUCUGAUGUGAAAGCCCCCGGCUCAACCGGGGAGGGUCAUUUGAAACUGGGAGACUUGAGUGCAGAAGAGGGGAGUGGAAUUCCAUGUGUAGCGGUGAAAUGCGUAGAUAUAUGGAGGAACACCAGUGGCGAAGGCGGCUCUCUGGUCUGUAACUGACGCUGAGGCUCGAAAGCGUGGGGAGCAAACAGG
Molecule: ribosomal RNA, 429 nt
Filed under: Gemmatimonadota bacterium
Lineage: Bacteria; Pseudomonadati; Gemmatimonadota
Description: Gemmatimonadetes bacterium partial 16S ribosomal RNA
Rfam family: Bacterial small subunit ribosomal RNA
Source: RNAcentral